UACGGGGGGAGCAAGCGUUGUUCGGAUUUACUGGGCGUAAAGGGCGCGUAGGCGGUCAGCACAAGUCAGUUGUGAAAUCUCCGGGCUUAACCCGGAAAGGUCACCUGAUACUGUGCGACUAGAGUGCGGAAGGGGCAACUGGAAUUCUCGGUGUAGCGGUGAAAUGCGUAGAUAUCGAGAGGAACACCUGCGGCGAAGGCGGGUUGCUGGGCCGACACUGACGCUGAUGCGCGAAAGCCAGGGGAGCGAACGGG
RNAcentral lists this ribosomal RNA (254 nucleotides) under uncultured bacterium. Its description in RNAcentral is "partial 16S ribosomal RNA". It matches the Rfam family "Bacterial small subunit ribosomal RNA", at positions 524 to 776 of the family's 1533-position model. The record is from RNAcentral.